AAGAAAGUGAGUGGGAGCUCUGUUGUAUUUCUAAUAUUAUAUGUGGAUGACAUAUUGUUGAUUGGAAAUGAUAUAGAAUUUCUGGAUAGCAUAAAAGGAUACUUGAAUAAGAGUUUUUCAAUGAAAGACCUCGGUGAAGCUGCUUAUAUAUUGGGCAUCAAGAUCUAUAGAGAUAGAUCAAGACGCUUGAUUGGACUUUCACAAAGUACAUACCUUGAUAAAGUUUUGAAGAAGUUCAAAAUGGAUCAAGCAAAGAAAGGGUUCUUGCCUGUGUUACUAGGUGUGAAGUUGAGUCAGACUCAAUGCCCGACCACUGCAGAAGAUAGAGAGAAAAUGAAAGGAGUUCCCUAUGCUUCAGCCAUAGGCUCUAUCAUGUAUGCAAUGUUGUGUACCAGACCUGAUGUGUGCCUUGCUAUUAGUUUAGCAGGGAGGUACCAAAGUAAUCCAGGAGUGGAUCACUAG
This 462-nucleotide ribosomal RNA is filed under the name Triticum aestivum (bread wheat). RNAcentral's name for it is "partial small subunit ribosomal RNA". The record is from RNAcentral. Lineage: Eukaryota; Viridiplantae; Streptophyta; Magnoliopsida; Poales; Poaceae.